This is a long non-coding RNA of Camelus dromedarius (Arabian camel), 1102 nucleotides long. RefSeq lists it as uncharacterized. The record is from RefSeq and is a predicted model, not a curated record. Lineage: Eukaryota; Metazoa; Chordata; Mammalia; Artiodactyla; Camelidae. The transcript has 4 exons.
CAGGUAGUCGGCGUGGACCGUUGCUGCCCGCAGACGCCAGCGAAGGAAGAAGGGUCUUUGAGGCUCAGAGCCACCGAGACCCCAGCUCCUCUUAGCCGACUGGCCCCCCACUAAUCUAUGCGUCGAGGUCCGCGUGCCCCUCCCCUGGGAAAAGCUGAAGUGAGGACGCCUGAAAGAACCGCUGCUGGGCAUGGGACCUUUGAAGAAUAUGCAGAAUGUGGAAAUACCACACCUCUGAGGACAGCAAUGCUUGGCUCCUUGCCUAAGGAGAGAAGCAGCCCUUCCCAGAGGUGUUGGAUGAACAACAGGUUAGUUACUUGAAUCUGAGCAAAAGGAAGAAGAGUCAGUAAGCUGUCGCUAUCUCAAAGAUGCUGUCCUGCCAUGCCUCCUCCCUCCGUGAAGCCCUCUGUGACCCACCACACAGGAAGUGGGCGGUCCCUCCUGCGUGCAGACACACAGCAAGCCCACCACCCUAGAAGCCCUCAGCUCACCGAGCACUGAAUCCUACCUGAGCUGGGAGCAACUUGAGGCUGGAGACCAGAUCUUUCUUCCUAUAGUCUCAUCUCCUCUUGUAUGGACCCAGGCCACGGGCCACCACACCUGCCAGAGCGAUGGAACACUGCCUCUCCCAGGGCAUGGGCCCCGGGAGCAGCUUUGUUCUGGAGCAACUGAGCCUGUUUCCUAGACCCUGUACAGCAUCCUUGCCCCACAGAGGCACCCUGUACUGGGUACAAUCAUAAUUUGGGAGAGUUUCUUUACAACAUGAAAUCAGUGUCUAGGCACAGAUUUCAAGCAUUGCGGAGCCCUGGUUUGUGAGAAUGCCAUUAUACUGGUGGGAAAAGCAGCCCUGGUGGGAAAGGCGGACCCUGCCUUUACCUGUACGGGAAGAGGGGCAGACCGUGUCUGGAAGGAAGUGGCAAGUAUGUGUGUGCAUGUGAGGGGUGACAAGCUCUGGGCUCACACACUCCUGUGGCAAAAGUUCAGGCUGGGCCUGGGUCCCUGCCCUUAGGAUCUGGAAGCCCCAGAGCUCCUGCCAGAAGGCCUAGAGUGCAGGCUGUGAUUAUCUGGGAACACGGUCUUCCCCAGGCCACGGUGGCCAAGA